RNAcentral lists this ribosomal RNA (106 nucleotides) under Caerostris darwini. The record is from RNAcentral. Lineage: Eukaryota; Metazoa; Arthropoda; Arachnida; Araneae; Araneidae.
AACGGCCAUACCAUGCUGAAUUUACCGGUUCUCGUUAGAUCACCGAGCAUCAUUGGGCGCGGUCAGUACUUGGGUGGGUGACCACCUGGGAACACCGCGUGCCGUU